UUUGAUUAUCUCUUCUGAUUUUGCAUUUUCGCUUGUAGGAAAAGCACGAUUCUAAAAGGAAGAAGGAAAUUGAAUGGCCAUCACUUAAACCUUGUUUAUACAAGCGUCGUUGAGACUGAUUAUUUUAUAUGUUUAUACACUAUCAUUGUGUGGACGAAAGUCAAAUCAUAUUUGUUGUUAGCAUGGCCAGUGAAUCACAAAAGUUGUUGUAUUAUUUGGUUCUUUACAAUCCAGGUUCUGUACAAUUUAUUCGUUGAUUGAUAGGUGCAUAGGAUUUACGGUUGUUUGAAUGAAGAAUUUUGAGGAAACUCGUAGAGAGAUGUCACAUGGUUGCACCUUUGUCGACGUAAAAGUCACAUGGUUGCAUAGGAUUUACGGUUGUUUGAAUGAAGAAUUUUGAGGAAACUCGUAGAGAGACGUCACAUGGUUGCACCUUUGUCGACGUAAAAGUCAC
This 454-nucleotide long non-coding RNA is filed under the name Trifolium pratense (red clover). RNAcentral describes it as "long non-coding RNA (TPRA_LNC002976)". The record is from RNAcentral. Lineage: Eukaryota; Viridiplantae; Streptophyta; Magnoliopsida; Fabales; Fabaceae.